CACGUAGUUAGCCGGGGCUUCCUCCUAAGGUACCGUCAUUAUCGUCCCUUAGGACAGAGCUUUACGACCCGAAGGCCUUCAUCGCUCACGCGGCGUCGCUGCAUCAGAGUUUCCUCCAUUGUGCAAUAUUCCCCACUGCUGCCUCCCGUAGGAGUCUGGACCGUGUCUCAGUUCCAGUGUGGCCGUUCACUCUCUCAAGUCGGCUACCCAUCGCAGCCUUGGUGAGCCGUUACCUCACCAACUAGCUAAUGGGACGCGAGGCCAUCUUCUACCGCUAAAGCGCUUUAACUUUAAUUCAUGCGAAUCAAAAGUGUCAUAGGGUAUUAAUCCCGGUUUCCCGAGGCUAUCCCCUUGUAGAAGGCAGGUUCCUCACGCGUUACUCACCCAUCCGCCGCUAAGAAGUAUUUUUAAAUCCAUCCGAAGAUUUACUUAAAAAUAUUCUUCGCUCGACUUGCAUGUGUUAAGCACGUCGCCAGCGUUCGUCCUGAGCCAGGAUCAAACUCU
This 504-nucleotide ribosomal RNA is filed under the name uncultured bacterium. Its description in RNAcentral is "partial 16S ribosomal RNA". The record is from RNAcentral.